This 291-nucleotide ribosomal RNA is filed under the name Triticum aestivum (bread wheat). Its description in RNAcentral is "partial small subunit ribosomal RNA". The record is from RNAcentral. Lineage: Eukaryota; Viridiplantae; Streptophyta; Magnoliopsida; Poales; Poaceae.
AUGGUUCAAACAACAAAACAUAGAACUUUCCAAUUGGUAUAUCGCCUCAUCGAGUUGACAUUAAUUCUUCCAGUGGCAACUUCAUCGGUCGAAAGGAUAUUUUCAGCAAUGAAGAUCAUCAAAACUGAUUUGCGCAAUAAGAUAUCAGGUGAUUGGCUUAAUGAUUUAAUGGUUUGCUAUUGUGAGAAAAGGAUAUUCAGAAGUAUUCCCGAUGAUCAAAUUAUGAUACGAUUCCAGAAAAAGAAAGAUCGAAAAGGACAUUUGCCUCCUGAGUAUAAUGUGAUUUCUUAG